Molecule: long non-coding RNA, 3654 nt
Filed under: Homo sapiens (human)
Lineage: Eukaryota; Metazoa; Chordata; Mammalia; Primates; Hominidae
Description: HSALNT0272496
Rfam family: Small nucleolar RNA U3 (bases 2624-2819)
Source: RNAcentral
UGUAGUAAUCAGCCAUUUGUAGUCAUCUUUGCAGUCCUAACCUGUGCCUAGCACAAAGCAACCACUUGAUGCAAGAAUUUACAUCUAAUUACAUCUUUCGUUCUAAUUAAACUUUGUUAUAAUUAAUCUUAAGUUAUGGCCACGUGUAGAAUUAAACAAAUGAUGAACAGUAGCUAACUUUCUGUACCAAGCAUGAAACCAGGAAUUUUAAGUGCUAUACAGAGUUUGUGACAAUAGGAUAUCUGUGGUACCUUAAUUUCAUGUGUCAACUUGACUGGGCCAUGGGGUCUCCAGGUAUUCGGUCAAACAUUAUUGUGGGUGUUUCUUGGGAGUGUUGUUGAGUGAGACUGGCAUUUAAACAGGCAGACCAAAUAAAACAGAUUGGCCUUUCCAGUGUGCGCAGGCCUCAUCCAAUCAUUUGAAGGCCUGAAUAAAACAAAAAGACUACUGUCCCCUAAGUAAGAGAGAAUUCUUGCUGCCUGGCUACCUUCAAACUGGGACAUCAGCUCCUCCUCAGUCUUGAGCCUGCCAACUGGGUCUCUAGCCAAGCUUGCUGACUCACCUCCAGAUCUUUGAACUUGCCCACUUUCAUAAUCAUGGGAGCCAAUUCCUCACAUGUAAUUCCACUCACUCAUCCUUCUGCACUUCCUACAUAACCAAACCAUAUUCCAUACAGGAAAUUUAUAUACAUCCUAUUGAUUUUGUUUCUCUGGAGAACCCUGACACCGAUAAUAGAGUAUUCCAGGAAAUAAAGCAAUCAGAGGUUACUUUGAUGAGAAUACAUGCCUUUAAUUUGCCUUAUAAGUCUUUUGUGAUCCAGAUAUAUGCCAUCUCCCUUGGUAAUUCGUCCAUCUGUGCUACAUGUGGAUGACUUAAUUCUUACAGGUCAUUUUUUCAUAUUCAAUCUCAGGACCUUUGAAGAAUCCUCUCAACUUAUGGAUACUAAUCCAUCAGCUGCAAAUAGCCACACAAAUGUUCACCACAUGCAUAUACAGGACUAUGAAGCUUUGUACGAUAUGGAGUUGUAUUAGGGACUCAGACCUGGGAGAACAGCCACUGCCCAGACACGUUCAGCGACAGAUAAAACAGUAUAACAUUUUGCAAAGGCAAAUUCCUCCUCUUCUGCUGUAGAAAAACUUGGUUUCUUCUUCAUACACACUGAGUCCUUCUGCUCAUAAUGCUGGUCCUAAACACCUUAAUCCAAAAGCAGCCAAUAAAAAGUUUUUAAAAGUCCAACUCCUUAGGGAAAAACUUUGUUUUCCAGUUUGUGUGACUCAGGUCAUCAGCUCACGGUCAUUGUCAGAGCCCCAGUCAUCUACGUGUGUCAGCACCGCCCCUUUUAUCUCUCUGUCUUCAGUACUGCCUGAGAAGUACACACAAAGGACUGAACAGAGACAUUUUCAAAGUUUCAGAGAAAAAUGAAAGGAUAUGAUUUUAACACUGGAACCGAAUACUCUCUUAAGCAUAAAUUUUUCUUCUAGGGAGCAUUUGUUUGUAAUUAUGAGAAAUUAAGGAAUAUAUUCCCAGUGAAUUAAAACAUAGGAAAUUAAAACUGGAAGGGUAUUCAGGGAAUCUAGAAGUUCAUGCUAUCAGCUUUGUGAGUGAUUUCAUCUCUCACUUUGUGCAUUUCCCUUUCUAUGUUCAUGUUUGAUGUGAGCUGCAUUCCCAGCUCAGAUUAUUCUCAUUCUUUAAAAAUAAGAGGGGCUGGGCACAGUGGCUCACACCUGUAAUCCCAGCACUUUGGGAGGCCGAGGCAGGCGGAUCACCUGAGGUCGGGAGUUCGAGACCAGCCUGACCAACAUGGAGAAACCCCGUCUCUACUAAAAAUACAAAAAACUAACUGGGCAUGGUGGUAUAUGUCUGUAAUCCCAGCUACUCAGGAGGCUGAGACAGGAGAAUUGCUUGAACCCGGGAGGGGGAGGUUGCAGUGAGCUGAGAACGCACCAGUGCAAUCCAGCCUGGGCAAUAGAGAGAGACUCCAUCUCCAUCUCAAAUUAAAAAUAAUAAUAAUAAUAAAAUAAUAAUAAUAGACCAGGUGUGGUGGCUCACGCCUGUAAUUCCAGCACUUUCGAAGGAUAAGGCAGGAGGAUUGCUUGAGCCCAGGAGUUCAAGACCAGCCUGGGCCAACAAGAGAGACCCUCAUCUCUACAAAAUAUUUUUUAAAAUAACUGGGCCUCAUGGUGCAUUCCUGUAAUCUGAGCUAGUUGGGAGGAUAGCUAGAGCCCAGGAGAUCGAGGCUGCAGAGAACCGUGAUCACACGACUGCACUCCAGCCUGGGUGACAGAGCAAGACCCUGUCUCAAUAGAUAGAUAGAUAGAUAGAUAGAUAGAUAGAUAGAUAGAUAGAUAGAUAAAAACAGAGAGGUGAAAAAUAUGGUUUUAAGGGUUCUGUUUAAGAAUACUCUGUUCCAACAUGGAGUUUGUCAACUCUAAAGUGGUAAAAAACAAGACAGAUUGUAGACAUUUUCAUAAAAGGCAGGAUUAUUUGGUGUCACCAAAUUAAAUAUGUUAAUGGUCACAGCGGAGGCCGACUCAAUCAGCCUUUUAUUCUGCCAGGCUAUUUGAUACUGCUGAGGGCUUACCUAUUUCCUGAGGAGAAAAAUAGUCAUUAAAAUGACCUUAUAAAGACGACGCUUGCAGGGAUUGUUUCUAUAGCUCACUACCAGAUAAGUUUCUCCGAACAUGUAGAGCACCAGAAACCACAUGCAGCGGUGCAGCGCUCUCUCGGGAGCCUGACACUGGCUCUGGGUGCUGCUUCACUGCAACUUCCAUUUGCCAUUGAGAACUGUUCCGCUCUUCCUCUGUGGGCUUCUCCGUGGCAGCUGGCUCACCCCAGGGCAAGUGAUCCAAGAGACAGCAGGUGGGAAGGAAGCUCCAAUGUCUUUCAUGACCUAGACUUAGAAGUCAGAUGUUGUCACUGCUGCUUGACUCUAUUUGUUAAAAAUAUGUCUUUAAGUCCAACCCACACUAAAUGGGAGAGAAAUUAGGCUCUACCUCUUAUGGAAAUUUUUUGAUAUGUUUUAAAACUAUCCCAUUUGGGUAUUUAGAUAAAUAUCUACCUCCCUUACUAGACUAAGGGUUCCUUGAGAACCCAAUAGAACCCUUGUUUCUAGUGUUCACUUUUGUGUCCCUGGUAUCUUCCAGGAUGCCUGGCAGAGCGUGGACAUUCAAUAAAUAUUGACUAUAUGAAUUAAUGAGUGAAUGAAACUUUGCACUUGAAUCCCAGCUCUGAGAACUUUCUACAAAUUAUACAACAUUGGAGAAAAGGGACAAUCACAGCUGUCUCUCAGGUGUUUAAAAUAAUACAGCCUAUACAAAGCACCUAGUAUAGUCUGGCACUGAAGGAGGUCAUUAAAUGUUCUUUCUCUUCCUCUUCCUUGCCUCAAUCACACAUGCAAUCCAUCUGAAGCCCUGUGGAGUCUACCUCCCAUUAUGUCUUUCCCAUCCCUCUUAGUCUGUUACUCUCUUUCAAAUGCUGCUGCUCUUAGACUUGCCUUGCACAUGCUUUUCUAUUAGCCUUGUAUCAGUUCCCUGUGCCUCUAUUCUCUAGGGCAAUCUAGUGCAAUCCAUCCCUAAAUGUGCUAGGACCACAUUAUCUUUGUCAUUUUUGCAUCUUCUAUUGCUGUUGCUCGGCCCUGCACCAGCUAAGUGUAUA